RNAcentral lists this long non-coding RNA (4268 nucleotides) under Citrus maxima (pomelo). Its description in RNAcentral is "long non-coding RNA (CMAX_LNC000089)". The record is from RNAcentral. Lineage: Eukaryota; Viridiplantae; Streptophyta; Magnoliopsida; Sapindales; Rutaceae.
CUUUUUCUAUUUUUGUUUGCGUAUGACAUGCUGUCUUGUUUCUAUUUAUUCCAAUGUUAAAAUGUCACCUGACAUGUCGUCUUGUUUUUGUUUAUUCCAAUUCUCAAAUGUCACUUGCACGGUUAUAUGUAAAACCAAUAUAUACAUUAACAAUACCCGCAUUCUUCAUUAACAGUAAUACACAUGAAUGAAGAGGCCUCCAUUAACAGGCGGCAUGAAUGAAAAGGCCUGUAAAAUAUUAUGAAAGAUAGAAAUCGUAAGACAAGUAAAUGCGGUCCUUACCAUAGGCCAACCCACGCAAUAAUACAGACCUUCCACUACAGGGAUUACUGUUUAGGGUUUAUGAUUAAGCUUAAUGCACUUUUGCGCAAAGCGGUGGUUCACACCAGGAUUAAUUGACAUGAUGCUGUGUACCUAUGCUGCCUUCAUACUUUUGGGCACAAUCAGCCCUGAGCUCUCUGCUAACAGUAACCUAAACAAGCAGAAGCAUAUUACAAAUUACACAGGACUAGGGCUGGGCAUCGAAUCGGAUUCGGAUAAAUCCGAUCCGAACUUCUUUAGAUCGGAUUAGGAUUUAAUCAAUAAUCCGAUCGGAUAUAAUCUGUAUCAUCCGAUCGGAUUUGAUUCGGGUCGAUCCAAACAAUCCGAUCGGAUUACACUUAUAUAAAAAAAUAAUUAAAUAUAAAAACAAAACCCAAUAUCUCCAUAUAUUUCCACUCAUCUUCAUCACCAAUAUUUUUUCAAAUCAUUAACAAUUUCAAGAUCUAACAUCUCUCAAUAACAACAGCAACAAUGGCCGUCUCCUUCAACAUCAACCAUCAUCGUCAAGCUUUUGUUGAUGAAGUAAUGGUGGAGCCGCCGGUGCCGGUAGGUUUCAAAUGUAGGAUCUGAAAGCAUCAUCCAAACCAGUCAAACUCACCUAAAUCCAAACUCAAUCCGAACCGAUCCAAAUCCGAAUUUAUCCGAAAUAUUCAUCCGAUCCGAACUAUUUCGGAUCGGAUUUGAUAUUCGGAUUGGAAUCGGAUGAUUUUUUUUCCAAUCCGAAUUAUCCGAAAUCCGAUCAGAUUCAUCCGAAUCCGAAAUUGCCCACCCCUACACAGGACAAGUGAACAGAACAAAAUUUUAUUCAUGGAUAAGACAAGUAUUGAAAGCAAUGGAUACCUCGUACCCCUUUGCUUGGUCUCAUUAAUCUGUCUAACCUUACUACAAGCCCUGAAACCAGUGAAAGAAUUGGUGACUUAUAUCCAAACUGAAGUACAAGGUUAAAUGAUAAUAUCAGAGUUAUGUCAGAACAAACAUUGCCUGCAACGUAUAACGAAGGUAAGAUGGUUACACUUUUAAUAGUGCCAUUAAAGAAAUAGAAAAAAAAUUAAAAAAAAAAAGGGAAUUAAGUUAUGCCAUUGUAGGAGUUCCCGAACUCCAAGAACUACAUAAAGUUCACGGAAACUAACAAACUCCCUGAAUAAUCAAUUUAAGCAUUGUUAUGUAUCCUCUUAGCCCAUCAGUAUUGGGAAAGGGAGGAGAAAAUCAAUGCUAACAAUGAAAAGAAUAUACAAAGAUUCCACCAACUUUAAUCUAAAUACAUAGUAUUGGGACUAACAAAAGGUCAUGCGUCACAGAUCAUAAUAAAAAAAGAACUAAUAUAGAAAGUAAGGGAUUUAUGCUAUUCGUGACGAGAUUAUUAUGCUAUAUUUCUCCAAACAGAAUUUUCUGUGAUAUAAGAGUUCCUGAACUCCAAGAACUAGAUAGAGAGAGUCCUAAGAGACUAACAAAACUCCAACUAUUCAAUGCAAGCAUUUUUCUGGAUCCUCAUAGCCUACGGGUAUUGGGAAAGGGAGUUGUAGUUCAAUGCUAACAAUAAAAAAUUUACAAAGAUUCCAUAAAUUUAACAUGAACACACAAUCUCACAACCAAAGUCAAGCACCAUGUAACAUGGAUAGAAAAGAAGUGAGGGCAUCAUCCUACUCGUGAAGAGAUAAUUUUAGCCGGAUUUCUCAAAGAAGAUACAGUGAAAAUCUGCAAUAUAGGAGUUCCCAAACUCCAAGAACUACAUAGAAAGUUCAAAUAGGCUAACAACAUUCCAACUAUUCAAUAUAAGCAUUUUUCUGGAUCCUCUUAUUCCACCGGUAUUGGGAAAGGGGAGAACUAAUUCAAUGCUAACAAUAAAACUAUUUAGAAAGACCUACAAAUUUACCCCAAAAUACAUAAUCUCACAAUCUAUGGAAUGGUCAUACAUCACGGAAAAUAGAUAUUAAAAAAAAAGGCAAAAACUAAGAGCAUUAUGCUACUCAUGAAAAUAUUAUUAUGCUAGAUUUUUCAGAUACGAGGUAGUACAAUAUAGGAGUUCCCAAACAUCAAGAACUAGAUGGAAAGAAUUCGAAGAGACUAACAAUACUGCAAUUAGUCAAUGUCAGCAUCUUUCAGGACCCUCUUAGCCCACCAGUGUAGGGAAUGGAAGUAGUAAUUCAAUGCUACCAAUACAAAGAUUUGCAAAGGUUCCACAACUUUAAAUCAAAUCCACAAUCAAAGGAAAGGUCAUAUCGCUAGCUAAUAAAGAUAUUAAUUGCUUUAAAGGAAGUAUCAACGUGGACGUAAGGACAAAACUAUACCAAGAAACUCAAAUUCUGAGAACAUGCAAACUUUUGCAGCUAAAACUCAACAGAAAACACUCCAGAAACAACAUUGUAGUAGAUACAGAAGGCAGUAAAGCCGGAAAGUGCUUACAGUUUUUUUCAUUUAACCAGCAAGGUAACUGGUAAAAUAACUUGAUGUAGGAAUCCCUAAACUCCUAGAACUUGGUAAUUAUAAAGUUAUAGAGCCUUAAAAACUCCCGACUUAAUAUACGAAUUGUCAAGUAGACUCUUAAACCAAAUAAAUUCAUUGGUAAGAUCGGCAGAAAAACUUGAUCAAUUCUAGUAGAGCUACACUAAUCCAACCCUGUUAACAAGUUUUGUUCCAGAUAAGAAAGGCAGAAAAGCUUGAUCAAUUCUAGCAGAACUACACUAAUACAACCUGAUAACAAGUUUAUGUUCCAGUACACGAAACCUACAAAAUAAAAGUGAUUCCCAGUUGGGAACUGAGGAGAGUUGUCGCAAUGGCACAUGGGAACAUUAUUCUUACUCUUUCUAGCCUCCAAAACUGAACAUGAAAGAUCUGAAAAUGAGAUAAAACCUUUCCCACCUGAAUAUCUUGGUAAUGCCAAGUAGCAAGGUAUGUCUCAGCCAAGAAAACUGUAUCGCAUUAACAGUAGAUCAUUGCAUGAGGUAAAUCAAGCGCAUCUGUCCAUAGAUUUAUGCAUCAAAAGGAAUUUUAAAAAGGAACUACUUAUGAAGAGAAACCAAAUAGGAUAUAGUGCAAUGUAGGAGUUAUCGAACUCCAUCGAAAUAAAAAUAGUUCCCAAGAGAGUACAAAACUCCAAAUGUUCAAUCUAAGCAUUGAUUCUGGAUCCUCUAAGCCCAUCAUUAAUGGGAAAGGGAGGAGUAAUUCAAUGCUAACCAUUAAAACUUUUUCACACGCAAGCAAUAGGUUCCGCAAAUUCAGCCCGAAUAUCAUAAUAAAACAAUCAAGGAAAAUGUCAUCAUAUACAGCAAGCUAGAUGCUAACUGCUAAGCAUACCCCAAAAGCAAAAAAAAAAUAAAAAUCUAAAGCUCCAAUUUCAUGUAUGAAUCCAUCAACAUAAAUUACAUCUAGAUGAACUACUGCAAGUAACUUGAUCUAUAAAAAAAAGGGUACAAAAAUUAAUCGAAUUAAACUUCAAUAAAGAACACAGCCAUAAAGAAAACCAAUAUAAUAAUUAAAAAAAAUCAAAAGCCCAUUUGAAAGAACACAAAAACCCUUUAAAAAAAAUAACGAAUUAAGAGCCGUGGCCACAAUAAUAAGAGCAACAAUCUUUUUUACUGACCUUCCAAAACCUCCUUCAUCUCCAACCCAUAACAUAACACAUCAACCAAAAAGAAAUGAAUGGAUAAAUAAAAAUUCACAUAUUUGGCCUAUGUAAGUGUGUUUGACAAAAUAUGGAUUGAAGGCUAAUGAUCGGGCUCGGAUUGGUUUGGUAGCCGAGAAAAAAAAAUCAGAAAAAUUUAGAUAAAAGAGAAAAGAGAAGAAGCUAGGAGCUUCUAAAGUCUUACCCUGUCUAAACAGUUGACACGGCUUUGCUGUAAAGUGAGACCAGAUUGUAGACAACUUUUAAAAGUCAAGAUGAUAACAAAACUCACCGUUUCAAGGCAGGAUAAGGACUAAAUUUUCAAUUAAUAAUAAUCCGAUUCUGG